Long non-coding RNA from Cucurbita moschata (crookneck pumpkin), 563 nucleotides. RefSeq lists it as uncharacterized. Lineage: Eukaryota; Viridiplantae; Streptophyta; Magnoliopsida; Cucurbitales; Cucurbitaceae. The record is from RefSeq and is a predicted model, not a curated record. The transcript is spliced from 2 exons.
AUAUGUCCUUGCUAUUCUAGAUUAUAGAAGAAAGAAAAAACAUGGCGUGUCAUCAUGUCCCUAUCUAUGCUCAUUUCAUAUUCAUAAUCUAUCAUUUCAAAAGGGAAAAAGCCGGCAACAAUUUGUUGUCCAAGCGUCAACUGGAUGAACGGCCAAAAGGGAGAGCCAAUUUCAGAGCAAUUCUGUCAACCAUAUCACUGCCAAUUCUUAGGUUCCGGGUUAGGAAAAGAACAAGGCCGAGCAGAAAGAAGUGGGUUGUUUAGAGGAGAGAGCAAUGAUUUUAUGAAGAAAAACAGAAACAAAACAAAAAAAAACACUACUACCAUGGUCUGCUACCUCCACCAAAUUUGGAUCCUAUCAGCUGCCAGGUUUAGUAACGCCUAUGGUCGGAUUACCUUUGCUUCCCACUCAUCAAAGGAGAAUGUCAAACAAAUUUGGGGAACAAAAAAUGCUAACAAAUUAGGCAUAAUCUAAGCAGCUGCUAACUGAAAAGGGGAUAUGCAUCCAUCGCUAACUACUCUGCCCUAUCUAUCUAUAUCUCUCUUUGUUAGUAGUAAAAAAAA